This is a long non-coding RNA of Aptenodytes forsteri (emperor penguin), 395 nucleotides long. RefSeq lists it as uncharacterized. The record is from RefSeq and is a predicted model, not a curated record. Lineage: Eukaryota; Metazoa; Chordata; Aves; Sphenisciformes; Spheniscidae. The transcript is spliced from 3 exons.
CGCACGCUCGCUCGCUCUCGCUCGCUCUCUCUCGCUCGCUCGCUCUCCCUUUCCCGUCUCUGUGGUUUGUAAGGUAGGUUGCAGUGUGUGUAUAUACACAACAUCAAGAGCAGGAAAAUGGACUCAUUAGGGAGGCAGGCAGUCAUUACCACUCACACUGUACUUCCAGGGAGACAGCGACUAUGAGGAGACAAACUGAGGACUGGGGAACAAGCAGCAUAAGAAAGAAGUGUUGAGAGCUGCUCUUAACCCUUUUGGAGUCCGAAGUCAAAAGGGAACUAGAGGGCUUGACACAUCCUUUACAUCCUGCGUUUACUCUGACCACGGUCCCUCCCUGUUCUCACAAGCGGAGCUCAGCCCUGCUUCCCUUCCUGUUGAUUCCCAGUCAGCUACAU